This 434-nucleotide long non-coding RNA is filed under the name Toxoplasma gondii VEG. Lineage: Eukaryota; Apicomplexa; Conoidasida; Eucoccidiorida; Sarcocystidae. The record is from RNAcentral.
CCGGCAAAAAAGCAUUCAUGCGGCCGGUAGAUCCAGGAACGGGCAGAAACCAUUCGAAAUGCUCGCGUGUGGGUGACACUUUGUGCUGAAGGACAUCUUUUGAUGUCCCUUCUGAAGGGUUCCUGCCAGCCUCUCUUCCGUGUUAGGACUGGUGCUUUUCGCGGUGACUUGCUAUUUUAGGGGAAUGCAGAUUAAAGCGUGCCGCGAACCCUGUAUAAAGUAAGGUGAUUUCUUUGGUUUCCCUCGUUCGAUGUCUCAGAGUCCCAGACGAGAAUAAGCCUGUCCGUAGGCAGAAACAUGCUCAUUAGCAGCCCAUAGACACACGGCUUUAAAUGUCAUUACGUACAUUUUUUUGGUUGAGUUAUACCAUCGACUCUACCAACGAGUAUAAAAACAUCUUUCGGCAUACUUGUCUCCUCUAAAUUCAUGCACGG